Molecule: non-coding RNA, 41 nt
Filed under: Schistosoma margrebowiei
Lineage: Eukaryota; Metazoa; Platyhelminthes; Trematoda; Strigeidida; Schistosomatidae
Source: RNAcentral
AUUCAGCUAAAUCUAAAUAGGUCGAAACGCGCGUCCUGGAU